GAUGAAGACGCAGCGAAAUGCGAUACUUGGUGUGAAUUGCAGAAUCCCGUGAACCAUCGAGUCUUUGAACGCAAGUUGCGCCCGAAGCCAUCAGGUUGAGGGCACGUCUGCCUGGGCGUCACAUAUCGUUGCCCAAUGCCUAUUGCAGUGCAAUAGGAAUUUCUAGGGCGAAUGAUGGCUUCCCGUGAGCGUUGUUGCCUCGCGGUUGGUUGAAAAUCGAGUCCUUGGUAGGGUGUGCCAUGGUAGAUGGUGGUCGAGUUAGAACGAUACCGAUCAUGUGCAUGCUCCCCAAAAUAUGGCCUCUAUGACCCACACGCGUCUUUUGACGCUCAUGACGAGACCUCAGGUCAGGCGGGGCUACCCGCUGAAUUUAAGCAUAUCAAUAAGCGGAGGA
This 394-nucleotide unclassified non-coding RNA is filed under the name soil metagenome. Its description in RNAcentral is "partial contains 5.8S ribosomal RNA, internal transcribed spacer 2, and large subunit ribosomal RNA". The stretch from base 1 to 121 matches the Rfam family "5.8S ribosomal RNA", at positions 35 to 154 of the family's 154-position model. The record is from RNAcentral.